Molecule: ribosomal RNA, 476 nt
Filed under: uncultured soil bacterium
Lineage: Bacteria
Description: bacterial SSU rRNA
Rfam family: Bacterial small subunit ribosomal RNA
Source: RNAcentral
AGGACGAACGCUGGCGGCGUGCUUAACACAUGCAAGUCGAGCGGUAAGGCUCCUUCGGGAGUACACGAGCGGCGAACGGGUGAGUAACACGUGAGCAAUCUGCCCUUCUCUUUGGAAUAAGCGCGGGAAACUGCGUCUAAUGCCGAAUACGACUUCCUUUCGCAUGUUAGGAAGUGGAAAGCUCCGGCGGAGAAGGAUGAGCUCGCGGCCUAUCAGCUUGUUGGUGAGGUAAUGGCUCACCAAGGCAUUGACGGGUAGCCGGCCUGAGAGGGUGACCGGCCACACUGGGACUGAGACACGGCCCAGACUCCUACGGGAGGCAGCAGUGGGGAAUAUUGGACAAUGGGCGAAAGCCUGAUCCAGCAACGCCGCGUGAGGGAUGACGGCCUUCGGUUGUAAACCUCUUUCAGUAGGACGAAGCGAAAGUGACGUACCUACAGAAGAAGGACCGGCCAACUACGUGACCAGUAGCCGAC